ACGGGAGGCAGCAGUGGGGAAUAUUGGGCAAUGGGGGAAACCCUGACCCAGCAACGCCGCGUGAAGGAAGAAGGCUUUCGGGUUGUAAACUUCUUUUACCAGGGACGAAGGACGUGACGGUACCUGGAGAAAAAGCCACGGCUAACUACGUGCCAGCAGCCGCGGUAAUACGUAGGUGGCAAGCGUUGUCCGGAUUUACUGGGUGUAAAGGGCGUGUAGGCGGAGCUGCAAGGCAGAUGUGAAAUCCCGGGGCUCAACCCCGGAACUGCAUUUGAAACUGUAGCCCUUGAGUAUCGGAGAGGCAAGCGGAAUUCCUAGUGUAGCGGUGAAAGGCGUAGAUAUUAGGAGGAACACCAGUGGCGAAGGCGGCUUGCUGGACGACAACUGACGCUGAGGCGCGAAAGCGUGGGGAGCAAACAG
Molecule: ribosomal RNA, 420 nt
Filed under: uncultured Pseudoflavonifractor sp.
Lineage: Bacteria; Bacillati; Bacillota; Clostridia; Eubacteriales; Oscillospiraceae
Description: partial 16S ribosomal RNA
Rfam family: Bacterial small subunit ribosomal RNA
Source: RNAcentral